This 506-nucleotide ribosomal RNA is filed under the name uncultured bacterium. RNAcentral's name for it is "partial 16S ribosomal RNA". It matches the Rfam family "Bacterial small subunit ribosomal RNA", at positions 29 to 523 of the family's 1533-position model. The record is from RNAcentral.
AGUGAACGCUGGCGGUAGGCCUAACACAUGCAAGUCGAACGGCAGCACAGAGGAGCUUGCUCCUUGGGUGGCGAGUGGCGGACAGGUGAGGAAUACAUCGGAAUCUACUCUGUCGUGGGGGAUAACGUAGGGAAACUUACGCUAAUACCGCAUACGGCCUACGGGUGAAAGCAGGGGAUCUUCGGACCAUGCGCGAUUGAAUGAGCCGAUGUCGGAUUAGCUAGUUGGCGGGGUAAAGGCCCACCAAGGCGACGAUCCGUAGCUGGUCUGAGAGGAUGGUCAGCCACACUGUAACUGAGACACGGACCAGACUCCUACGGGAGGCAGCAGGGGGGAAUAUUGGACAAUGGGCGCAAGCCUGAUCCAGCCAUGCCGCGUGGGUGAAGAAGGCCUUCGGGUUGUAAAGCCCUUUUGUUGGGAAAGAAAUCCAUCUGGUUAAUACCCGGGUGGGAUGACGGUACCCAAAGAAUAAGCACCGGCUAACUUCGUGCCAGCCGCCGCCGUAA